GCAGUGACAGUCACGUGACCCGGCCCAGCGACCGCGCCCCGCGGGGUCUUUUCAGGCGCUUCCCGGCAACAGGGGCCCCAGAAUUAAGUCGGGCCACCGCGCCCUGGUGUCUGGGGUGGCAGUCCGCUUGCCCCAGCUCCUUGGGCUCCAAAACGGCUAGGGGCGUAGAGAAAGAAUAAAACGUCCAAGUUGGCAGAUUAUCUUUUGAGUCCCAUUUCUCGGAUGGGCAAGUUGGGCUUCCGAGCCCCAAGGAAAACUUUCAAGUGGCGAGGCUAGCGGCCCUUCCUGCGGCCCGCUGCCCUUCGGGGAGUGCGUCCCGUGACGCGACCAUCCGCCCGAUCCAGAGGCCGCCAGCCAAGCGGACGGGACGCCCCGGCUAGGUUAGCGACCCCCAAGCUGUCCGGAGGAGCACACUCCGGGGCCACGUGUGCCCGUCAGCAUCACGCGCCAGCCCCCGCCUCCCCCAGCCGGAACCCGCGUGGCCAUGCGGGGUGGACUGCCCGGACUCCCGUUAACCCGUGCCGCGCGGUGGCCCUGUCACCCCUGAGGCUCUGGGGGCCCCCGGAAGAAGCCGCCACGCAAACGAGUGAUGACCGCACAGAGGCGAAACCGGCCCUCCAGCUGCUGGAGGACACCAAGCUCUUCUCUGCCUCAAGGCCCUUGCUCUCACGGUACACACUCUCCCUCUAGAAUCUUUCCCCUCAAUUCUCAAGGCUCUGCUCAAAUGGCCUAUAAGCCCUUGUCAUACCAGCUUUAUUAAAGUAGAGCAUUCCACA
Molecule: long non-coding RNA, 776 nt
Organism: Mustela erminea (ermine)
Lineage: Eukaryota; Metazoa; Chordata; Mammalia; Carnivora; Mustelidae
Exons: 2
Source: RefSeq, a predicted model, not a curated record